GAAAUGGCAAAAUUUUGAGCUAAUCCCAUUCAGAGCUGGCAGAAGACUCUGUCCUGGUUUGGUUACAGGCCUCACAACUGUGGAGUUAGCUCUUGCUAAUUUACUUCACAAAUUUGAAUGGGAAUUGCCUAUUGGAAUGAGGAAUGAAGACUUGGACAUAGAAGAGCAGCCAGGCUACACUUAUAACUUCAAAUAAAAUCAAUAUAUCUGAAGAUAAUGUGAUAUCUUUGUUCAUGAAGAAUCCAGGCAGUAGAAUUUUAA
This 261-nucleotide unclassified non-coding RNA is filed under the name Hevea brasiliensis (rubber tree). The record is from RNAcentral. Lineage: Eukaryota; Viridiplantae; Streptophyta; Magnoliopsida; Malpighiales; Euphorbiaceae.